Molecule: ribosomal RNA, 492 nt
Filed under: uncultured bacterium
Lineage: Bacteria
Description: partial 16S ribosomal RNA
Rfam family: Bacterial small subunit ribosomal RNA
Source: RNAcentral
AGUGAACGCUGGCGGUAGGCCUAACACAUGCAAGUCGAACGGCAGCACAGUAAGAGCUUGCUCUUACGGGUGGCGAGUGGCGGACGGGUGAGGAAUACAUCGGAAUCUACUUUUUCGUGGGGGAUAACGUAGGGAAACUUACGCUAAUACCGCAUACGACCUACGGGUGAAAGCAGGAGAUCUUCGGACCUUGCGCGAUUGAAUGAGCCGAUGUCGGAUUAGCUAGUUGGCGGGGUAAAGGCCCACCAAGGCGACGAUCCGUAGCUGGUCUGAGAGGACGAUCAGCCACACUGGAACUGAGACACGGCCCAGACUCCUACGGGAGGCAGCAGUGGGGAAUAUUGGACAAUGGGCGCAAGCCUGAUCCAGCCAUACCGCGUGGGUGAAGAAGGCCUUCGGGUUGUAAAGCGCUUUUGUUGGGAAAGAAAAGCAGCAGGUUAAUACCCCGCUGUUCUGACGGUACCCAAAGAAUAAGCACCGGCUAACUUCGUG